Molecule: ribosomal RNA, 1331 nt
Filed under: Oscinella pusilla
Lineage: Eukaryota; Metazoa; Arthropoda; Insecta; Diptera; Chloropidae
Description: 16S ribosomal RNA
Source: RNAcentral
UUAAUAAUUAUUUAUUAAUUUUAUUAUUUUAUUUAUUUAUUAUAUUAAAAAUAAUUAUAUAUAUUUAAUUUUUAGUAUUAUAUUAAGAAAAAAUAAUUUUUAUUAUAGUGUAUUAGUAUUGUAAAAUAAAUUUGAAAUAAUUUGAAAAAUUUUUAUUUUAUAAAUAAAUUUAAUUUAUUGUACCUUGUGUAUCAGGGUUUAUUAAUUAAAAAAUAAAAUUUUAUUAUUCUCGAAUUUAAAAGAGUUAAUAAAUUAUUAAAGUUAUUGUGAUAAAAUUAUUUUAAAUAGUUUAUUAGAAAUGAAAAGUUAUUCGUUUUUAAAUAUAUCUAGUUUUUUAAGAAAUAAAUUUAAUUUAAAAUUUUAAAAUGUAUUGAUCUAAAUUAAUAGAUUAAUAUUUUUAAAAUUAAAUAUUUUAUGGGAUAAGCUGUAAAAUAAAUUUUUAAAAAUUAUUAAAUAAUUUAUAAAAAUAUAUGUUUAGAAUUAACAAUUAUUUAUAAUUUUGUUAUAAAUUAUUUAUAAAAUUAUAUUAUUUAUUAAGAUUUUAAAUUUUUAUUAAAAUAUUUAUUUUAAUUUAAAAAAUAAAUUAAUAAUGAUAAAAUUAGUAUAUUUUAGUUUAAAAAUAAAUAUUUAUGAAAAGUUUAUAUAAAGAACUCGGCAAAUUUAAUAUUCGCCUGUUUAACAAAAACAUGUCUUUUUGUAUUUAUUAAAAAGUCUGACCUGCCCAUUGAUAAUUAUUUAACGGCCGCAGUAUAUUAACUGUGCAAAGGUAGCAUAAUCAUUAGUUUUUUAAUUGAAAGCUAGAAUGAAUGGUUGGACGAAAUAUUAACUGUUUCAUAUAAAUUUAUUAUAGAAUUUAAUUUUUUAGUUAAAAAGCUAAAAUUUUUUUAAAAGACGAGAAGACCCUAUAAAUCUUUAUAUUUAUUUUAUAAUAAAUUUUUUAGAUUUAUUUUAUUUAUUAUAAAAUAAAUAUUUUAUUGGGGUGAUAGUAAAAUUUAAAAAACUUUUAUUUUUAUUUUUACAUUAAUUUAUGAAUUAUUGAUCCAUUAAUAAUGAUUAAAAAAUUAAGUUACUUUAGGGAUAACAGCGUAAUAUUUUUGGAGAGUUCUUAUUGAUAAAAAUGAUUGCGACCUCGAUGUUGGAUUAAGAUAUAAUUUUAGGUGCAGUAGCUUAAAUUUAAAGUCUGUUCGACUUUUAAAUUCUUACAUGAUCUGAGUUCAAACCGGUGUAAGCCAGGUUGGUUUCUAUCUUUAAUAAUUUAAAAUAUUUUAGUACGAAAGGAGUAAAUAUUUGAAUUAUAAAAUUUUAUAUAUUGAAUAUAAUUAAUAUAAUAU